CAGUACUGAGGCUCCGAAUGAUCCCCCUCCGGUGCCUCCUCUUUCUGGGGCUCUACCGACUGCUGCGACUUCUCCUAAGCAACCUUUGUGAAGGCUCCCUCUUGUUUGUUUAUUUUGACUCAUGUAUAUGUACAUAUUUGUAGCUUAUCGGGGAUAUCAAUAAAUAAGAUUUCCUUCAUUUCAACGUAUUGUGUUAAAUACACCAAAGCCUUCUUCGCUAAGUUCUUUGAAUUUUCUUUUGUUGGAGCUUUAUGAGUGGAGCAUGUAGGUUGAGGUAGUGUUCCCUUAAUUUCCUGAGUGAGGAAAACUUAUCGGUUGGAGACUUGGAAAAUCCAAGUCACUGAGUGGGAUCGGCUACAUGAAUCUUAGAACGCCAUUGUGCUCUGACGCCCUCCCCUCCUCCUUUAUUUGGGCUUGGGAUCGGCUACAUGAAUCUUAGAACGCCAUUGUGCUCGAUCCUGUGUCAUGUCCUUCGUUAGAUCCAAGUACUCUAAGUCUUUUCUUAGAGUCUUUUCCAAAGUUUUCCUAGGUCUUCCUCUACCCCUUCGGCCCUGAACCUCUGUCCCAUAGUCGCAUCUUCUAAUCGGAGCGUCAGUAGGCCUUCUUUGCACAUGUCCAAACCACCGUAACCGAUUUUCUCUCAUCUUUCCUUCAAUUUCGGCUACUCCUACUUUACCCCGGAUCUCCUCAUUCCUAAUCUUAUCCUUUCUCGUGUGCCCACACAUCCAACGAAGCAUCCUCAUCUCCGCGACACCCAUUUUGUGUACGUGUUGAUGCUUCACCGCCCAACAUUCUGUGCCAUACAGCAUCGCCGGCCUUAUUGCCGUCCUAUAAAAUUUUCCCU
Molecule: long non-coding RNA, 844 nt
Filed under: Malus domestica (apple)
Lineage: Eukaryota; Viridiplantae; Streptophyta; Magnoliopsida; Rosales; Rosaceae
Description: long non-coding RNA (MDOM_LNC002430)
Source: RNAcentral